AUGCUCCUCCCGUGGGAUCCAUGGCACGGGUUAACACGCAGCAGCUGAUCUGUGACGAGCAAGGCAGGGAAGAGGUGUUCCUUCUCAUGGUCUGCCGCGCAACUCGCCUUCCAUGACGUCCUUGGAGAUGUAUGCGACUUAUUUAGUACCUACAAAAAUUCACGGGGCCGUGAAGAUCAGAAGCUACAACCGUACCACCAUGGCGGUGGUGGCUAUGGAACCUUGGAGGAGUUGCUUAAGUUAUCAUGUGGGCACAACUAGGAAUAAACAAGAAGCUGAAAUGCGUGUACACAGAAUUGCAAUCUGAAGGAGCGAUGGAAGUGAAGAUUGAG
Molecule: long non-coding RNA, 332 nt
Organism: Triticum aestivum (bread wheat)
Lineage: Eukaryota; Viridiplantae; Streptophyta; Magnoliopsida; Poales; Poaceae
Exons: 3
Source: RefSeq, a predicted model, not a curated record